CCUACGGGUGGCAGCAGUGGGGAAUAUUGGACAAUGGGCGGAACCCUGAUCCAGCGACGCCGCGUGAGUGAAGAAGUCUUUCGGGAUGUAAAGCUCUAUUAUCAGGGACGAAAGAAAUGACGGUACCUGCCUAAGAAGCCCCGGCUAACUACGUGCCAGCAGCCGCGGUAAUACGUAGGUGGCAAGCGUUAUCCGGAUUUACUGGGUGUAAAGGGCGCGUAGACGGGGAUGCAAGUCUGAUGUGAAAGGCAGGGGCCCAACCCUCGGACUGCAUUGGAAACUGUAUGGCUGGAGUGCAGGAGAGGUAAGUGGAAUUCCGGGUGUAGCGGUGAAAUGCGUAGAUAUAAGGAGGAACACCAGUGGCGAAGGCGGCUUACUGGACUGUAACUGACGUUGAGGCGCGAAAGCGUGGGGAGCAAACAGGAUUAGAUACCCUUGUAGUC
This 443-nucleotide ribosomal RNA is filed under the name uncultured bacterium. Its description in RNAcentral is "partial 16S ribosomal RNA". It matches the Rfam family "Bacterial small subunit ribosomal RNA", at positions 338 to 795 of the family's 1533-position model. The record is from RNAcentral.